UAAUUCUUUCAAAUAUUUUUCCUCUCAGACGACGCCCUGAGCCGAGGUUCGCGCCCAACUGGACACCCUCAGUUCUGUUGUCUUAAACGUUGUACCGGGUGAGAGCCUUCAGCGCUCCCCAUUUGUCCGGCCAAGUAGUUAAUGCCGUCUGCGGCAAAUCUACAAUAAGUCACGUCAAAAAAAAAGUAAUUAUAUGAGUGAAAUCUUAAAGGAAAUUUUAAGCGUGGGGUAUCUCUUUCUCAAAACUAAUUACAACGUACUCUUCUAAAUAAAAGUACUUAGAAACAACGAAAAAGAAAAGGCAAAAGUUGAUACUUUAUAGUGCUACAAUCUUUAGUUUUAGAUACGUAGACCAUUUACCCAUUGACUUUUAAUAUGUUAAGUACAUAACUUUUCGGACUUUGCUUUUGGAAUUGCUUUUUGUAUUUCUUCAUUUAGAUUAAUUUUGUGUUCUUAUAAUCUAGUAGGUAACGAAUGAGUGUGAUCUACAUUAUGUAAAUUACAUAAAAUGGCCUGUAUAUUUAGGUAUUAUAAAUAUUAUUCAAUUUAGGUUAAAAUUUUAUUUAGUUUACAUUUACAGUCAUACCAAUUGACUUUAGUUUUUAAUUGUUUAUGCUAUUCUGACCUAUAUUAUUUUGAAUCAACUGCCAAUAUUAUUAUGCUGUUUUAAAUAUACAUUUAAAUCAA
Long non-coding RNA from Pectinophora gossypiella (pink bollworm), 687 nucleotides. RefSeq lists it as uncharacterized. The transcript is spliced from 2 exons. The record is from RefSeq and is a predicted model, not a curated record. Lineage: Eukaryota; Metazoa; Arthropoda; Insecta; Lepidoptera; Gelechiidae.